GACGAACGCUGGCGGCGUGCUUAACACAUGCAAGUCGAACGGAAAGGCCCUGCUUUUGUGGGGUGCUCGAGUGGCGAACGGGUGAGUAACACGUGAGUAACCUGCCCUUGACUUUGGGAUAACUUCAGGAAACUGGGGCUAAUACCGGAUAGGAGCUCCUGCUGCAUGGUGGGGGUUGGAAAGUUUCGGCGGUUGGGGAUGGACUCGCGGCUUAUCAGCUUGUUGGUGGGGUAGUGGCUUACCAAGGCUUUGACGGGUAGCCGGCCUGAGAGGGUGACCGGCCACAUUGGGACUGAGAUACGGCCCAGACUCCUACGGGAGGCAGCAGUGGGGAAUAUUGCACGAUGGGCGUAAGCCUGAUGCAGCAACGCCGCGUGCGGGAUGACGGCCUUCGGGUUGUAAACCGCUUUCGCCUGUGACGAAGCGUGAGUGACGGUAAUGGGUAAAGAAGCACCGGCUAACUACGUG
This 468-nucleotide ribosomal RNA is filed under the name uncultured bacterium. Its description in RNAcentral is "partial 16S ribosomal RNA". It matches the Rfam family "Bacterial small subunit ribosomal RNA", at positions 28 to 507 of the family's 1533-position model. The record is from RNAcentral.